UACGUAGGGUGCGAGCGUUAAUCGGAAUUACUGGGCGUAAAGCGUGCGCAGGCGGUUAUAUAAGACAGUUGUGAAAUCCCCGGGCUCAACCUGGGAAUUGCAUCUGUGACUGUAUAGCUAGAGUACGGUAGAGGGGAUGGAAUUCCGCGUGUAGCAGUGAAAUGCGUAGAUAUGCGGAGGAACACCGAUGGCGAAGGCAAUCCCCUGGACCUGUACUGACGCUCAUGCACGAAAGCGUGGGGAGCAAACAGG
This 252-nucleotide ribosomal RNA is filed under the name uncultured bacterium. RNAcentral's name for it is "partial 16S ribosomal RNA". It matches the Rfam family "Bacterial small subunit ribosomal RNA", at positions 524 to 776 of the family's 1533-position model. The record is from RNAcentral.